AGGGGAUUCGCCAAGUCGGUAAGGCAUAGCACUUUGACUGCUAUAUGCGUAGGUUCGAGUCCUGCAUCCCCUGCCA
RNAcentral lists this transfer RNA (76 nucleotides) under Paraclostridium bifermentans. RNAcentral's name for it is "tRNA-Gln". It matches the Rfam family "tRNA". From Rfam's summary of the family: Transfer RNA (tRNA) molecules are approximately 80 nucleotides in length. Their secondary structure includes four short double-helical elements and three loops (D, anti-codon, and T loops). Further hydrogen bonds mediate the characteristic L-shaped molecular structure. tRNAs have two regions of fundamental functional importance: the anti-codon, which is responsible for specific mRNA codon recognition, and the 3' end, to which the tRNAs corresponding amino acid is attached (by aminoacyl-tRNA synthetases). tRNAs cope with the degeneracy of the genetic code in two manners: having more than one tRNA (with a specific anti-codon) for a particular amino acid; and 'wobble' base-pairing, i.e. permitting non-standard base-pairing at the 3rd anti-codon position. The record is from RNAcentral. Lineage: Bacteria; Bacillati; Bacillota; Clostridia; Peptostreptococcales; Peptostreptococcaceae.